AAGAAAGCAAACAAAAGUAAACUCUAGAAAAUUUUCUCCUCCCUUCCCUUCUCUUUUGCUACUAGCCGCCCCCCCUACUUAGGUUUUCUUCUCCGGUCAAAGCUGCUCCUUCAGCGAAGCUCAGCGGCGGCAGACGACUUGAGUAGUGGUAGUGCACGAUGGCGUGUUUCCGACAGAACUCGACAUCAGCGGGGGUUUUGAGCAGCAUCGCUUCGGCAUCCUCCUUGUACGUUUCUUCUUGACGAACGGCGACAGCGAGUUAGCGACUCCAGCAGUGACAUCUGAUAGCAGUGACGGUGUCUUCCUCGACGUUCCAACAAACCUGCAGCGGUGAGAAUCGAGCAGACCCCGCAUUCUGCGGUGGCGCACCUCCUUCUCUGACAUUCCUACACUUUCCGAUAAGUCACCAUGGCGGCACAUGACAAACAGAGGGGUUUUCACUACAUUCUCCAGCCCGACAACUCCGAACAGCCAAGAUUCAUGAAGCCUAGUGAGCUUGGUGAUGUUUCUCAGCCUCUAGGCCUUUCGACAUUAUUUUGGCGUUGACUCAUACCGAAACAGGCCUCGAUGUGUGAUACCCACCCCUAUUUGGACUCAAACCGACAUUACCCAUCACUUUUUCACAUCGGAAUAGCAAGCCUAAGGCCAUUUGAACUUGAAUUUGGGAGCCCGAACCUCCUCGGCGUCUAUCCACUCCUAACCCAAGUUGUUUUAGUGUGAGUUAGUAGGUAACUACUCACCUAAACACGGUUUCAAUUAUAUUGAAGUGUUUCUAUUUGGUUACUGACCUCGAGAUCGUAUUCCUUUUAUUUAGGAACUCCUCGACAAGCUUAGGAGCUUUAUGACAUACUUUUGUAACGAGGUCACACACAGGAAUGGUGAUGGCGAGGAGGAGACUUGACUAGAAGAACCAUAUAGCACUGCGUCAUUUUAUUUUAAAUAGGAUAGUUGGAGUUGUUUCUUUUUGUUAUUUCAUCAGCAGGUUGGUUUGUUUAAGUUUUAUGUUUAAAGGAUGUGUUAAGAUGACAAUUAGUUAUUCUUUUGAGAACUCCAGUUAUGUUGAGUUAUUUGAGUUCUGAUAUUGGAACUUUGAGUUAAUAAAGUCUACUUAUAUGAAA
This is a non-coding RNA of Momordica charantia (bitter melon), 1118 nucleotides long. NCBI's taxonomy places the organism in Eukaryota, Viridiplantae, Streptophyta, Magnoliopsida, Cucurbitales, Cucurbitaceae. The record is from RefSeq and is a predicted model, not a curated record.